AAGAUACAGGUGCUUCCGAGUUCCCAGAUUGUUGUAAAAGUUUACGCUUGGUAACUCGAGCGACAAUACGCUUAUCUUUGUGAGUCACACUUCCUAAAUCCUCAAUAUCAGUAACUUUUGUGUUGUUUAUUGUGGAUGGAUUUGUAGGGGCUAAGGAGAAAAUGGAAUCGAUCUUUUUCUGUUGGUAUUUAGAAUUCAAGACAGCAACUCGUUUUUGAAGCCAGUCCGGCAA
Molecule: non-coding RNA, 232 nt
Organism: Schizosaccharomyces pombe (fission yeast)
Lineage: Eukaryota; Fungi; Ascomycota; Schizosaccharomycetes; Schizosaccharomycetales; Schizosaccharomycetaceae
Source: the annotation of a GenBank genome assembly